UCUCCGUAGGUGAACCUGCGGAGGGAUCAUUACAGAGUUCAUGCCCUAACGGGUAGAUCUCCCACCCUAUGUUAUCAUCACUUUGUUGCUUUGGCGGGCCGUCAGGCCUCGGCUUGGCUACCGGCUCUCGCUGGUAAGCGCCCGCCAGAGAACCCCAAACCCUGAAUAUCAGUGUCGUCUGAGUACUAUAUAAUAGUCAAAACUUUCAACAACGGAUCUCUUGGUUCUG
RNAcentral lists this unclassified non-coding RNA (229 nucleotides) under plant metagenome. RNAcentral's name for it is "partial contains small subunit ribosomal RNA, internal transcribed spacer 1, and 5.8S ribosomal RNA". The record is from RNAcentral.